ACCCCUUAAGGACCAAAGUUCUGGAAUAAAAGGGAAUCAUGACAUGUCACACAUGUCAUGUGUCGGGUUAAGGACACAUGACAUGUGUGACAUGUCAUGAUUCCCUUUCAUUCCAGAACUUUGGUCCUUAAGGGGU
This is a non-coding RNA of Pelobates cultripes (western spadefoot toad), 136 nucleotides long. The record is from the annotation of a GenBank genome assembly. Lineage: Eukaryota; Metazoa; Chordata; Amphibia; Anura; Pelobatidae.